RNAcentral lists this unclassified non-coding RNA (406 nucleotides) under soil metagenome. RNAcentral's name for it is "partial contains 5.8S ribosomal RNA, internal transcribed spacer 2, and large subunit ribosomal RNA". The stretch from base 1 to 121 matches the Rfam family "5.8S ribosomal RNA", at positions 35 to 154 of the family's 154-position model. The record is from RNAcentral.
GAUGAAGAACGCAGCGAAAUGCGAUAAGUAAUGUGAAUUGCAGAAUUCAGUGAAUCAUCGAAUCUUUGAACGCACCUUGCGCCCUUUGGCCAUUCCGAAGGGCAUGCCUGUUUGAGUAUCAUGAACACCUCAACUCUUCAUGGUUUUCCGUGAUGAGCUUGGACUUUGGGGGUCUUGCUGGCCUAUGGUCAGCUCCUCUAAAAUAAAUCAGCUUGCCAGUGUUUGGUGGGUAUCACAGGUGUGAUAACUAUCUACGCUUGUGGUUUUCCACCAGGUAACCUUCAGCAGUGGAGGUUCGCUGGAGCUCACAGAUGUGUCUCUCCUCAGUGAGGACAGCUCUUUGAAUGUUUGAUCUCAAAUCACGUAGGACUACCCGCUGAACUUAAGCAUAUCAAUAAGCGGAGGA